UUUCGAGCUGCCAACCUUUGCAUUCUGAUUCUCUAACAGUUUUAAAAGUAAUUGAAAUCUCAUAGGUUUUUCAUUGAACUAUAUAACAAUCGCCGUUGUUUGUGUACGUGAGCUUGCAAUUAAACAUGAGCAUUUUAGUCAUGGGGUUUGAAGCGACUCAUAAGAAGUAUGGGAUCUCAAAAAGAACUGAAGGCUUUAGAAACAAUCAUAUACGCUUACUACUUACAGGUACUCACUAUUUAUUUUUUGUUCAUUCAAGAUAACUGUUGCGCAUUUUAAAUUCAAGUCUUUGCUU
Molecule: non-coding RNA, 295 nt
Organism: Schizosaccharomyces pombe (fission yeast)
Lineage: Eukaryota; Fungi; Ascomycota; Schizosaccharomycetes; Schizosaccharomycetales; Schizosaccharomycetaceae
Source: the annotation of a GenBank genome assembly